This 1688-nucleotide long non-coding RNA is filed under the name Haliotis rufescens (red abalone). RNAcentral describes it as "uncharacterized LOC125377518, transcript variant X2". Lineage: Eukaryota; Metazoa; Mollusca; Gastropoda; Lepetellida; Haliotidae. The record is from RNAcentral.
CUCAGACGACUGGGCCACCCGUGGCCCCUCGGAGAACAAGACAUACUUUGAUUUUAUUGCCAUAUCUAUCUAGGUUGUAGGAGGUCAUACGCAGUCCAAACUUGUUAAGCGUCGGCGAUCGUUGUGAAACAGUUAGCGCGAGGAUCAUGUCGCCUGCUGGAGACAGUUUGGAAAUUGGAGACGAUAAAAUGAACACGGAUAUGACACGUGCUCUACGCUUUGAGAUGAAGCAUGAUGAAACGGAACAGCUUUCUGAAGUACACUCUCAAGAAGAUAAGGGUGUAGAUAGUAAUGGUGGACUACCCAUAGACCGGGGAUGGGCCUGGGCAAUACUUGGAGGUUGUUUUCUGAAUACAAUGCUGAUGGCAGGUUACAACAAAUCUAUGGCUUUGUUCCUUGUGGAGUAUAUAGAAAUGUUUGAUGCGUCCACAACCACCACAACUCUCAUAAUGGGAGUCAAAGCAAUGACAAAGAGUAUGAUGUGUAAGUAUAUUCAUGUAUCAAGUUUUAAUCAUUUUACGAACCUGACCAACCAGGUAUGCCCCCAAGACGAUGAGGUAUGAUGUUAUUUUUUUUAUAUUCGAAUAUUUAAUUUAACAUGUAUUCAGAUAGUAACAUGAUGAGCUUUAAGAGCCAUGAUGAACUUUUCGGCUCGACCACCCCAUUGCCGCUUCAAGUACAGGAUAUAAUAAAUCUUAUCCAUCGGUUACAUAAUAUAAUGUAGCAAGCAUUCAGGGCCAAAGACACCCAUCUGAGAAACCUAUCAUACUUAUAUGUCUAAGCAGUGGCCACGUGUCUAAUAACUUUAUACCUCACUUCUGUUUACAAUGCACGUUCUGUUGGAGUUUCUGGGGACGAGGAAGACAGUCAUGCUGGGAGGUUUUCUCAGUGUGUCAGCUAUACUCUCAGCCACCUUUGCACCCAGUAUUAAAGUCAUCAUAUGUGUUCAUAGCGUUCUUGCAGGAAUUGGUCAUUCAAUGAUUCAUGCACCUGCCAUAGUGUUGGUAGGUAAAUACUUCAAGAAACGCAGAGGUCUUGCUACCACCACCGCCAGUACAGCCAUGCGCUGUGUAUCAGGAUUGUUCCCAAUUUUUUCACAAUGUCUCCUCAGUGAAUACGGUAUCCGUGGAACUUUGUUUAUAUUUGCUGGACUUACAAUGAAUAUGUGGGUAGGAGCAUCCCUAUUUCGCCCUCUAGAAUUUGAUAGAAAGAAAUUCACGAUGGCCAACAAGCUACUCCAAACCAAUGACCAAGUGGGUUUCAGUCUUGUCCUGGUGUUGGCACAAUACUUGCUGACCCACAGUCGGAAACAAACAGUUAUAAAGCCGGUGACAGACCCAAACCAACACAAACAUGCCUGAGGAAUGUGAAAAAAAUCUUAAAUGCAUUUGACUUUACUCUGUUCAAGAAGCCCAUGUUUCUGCUGAUCGUUGGUGUGUGUCAUUUUGCUGUGGUGGUGAACAAGUUUCAACAUAUCUUCCUGCACGGUUGAACGAAUUGGGAUACAGUCAAUCGGAGGCAGCAUUUUUGUUGCUCAUCUCUGGAGUUCUUGACUUCAUUAGUAGGAUAUUUUUUAUUGAUUUUUAGCUGAUCUGAAAUAUCUUCGUGUCAGUCAAUUAAUGUCCAUUGGUCUUGUGUUCUUAGGACUGUCAUCUCAGUUUAUCGUGUAUUACACAACAUACCCUUUA